This 406-nucleotide ribosomal RNA is filed under the name uncultured eukaryote. RNAcentral's name for it is "SSU rRNA". It matches the Rfam family "Eukaryotic small subunit ribosomal RNA", at positions 587 to 1000 of the family's 1831-position model. The record is from RNAcentral.
AGCUCCAAGAGCGUAUAUUAAAGUUGUUGCAGUUAAAAGCUCGUAGUUGGAUUUCUGGUAUAACGCGCCUGGCCCGCUUUUGUGAGUGCCGGUUGCACGUUUGCCAUCCUUCUAGAAACCGUUUCUACCCGGGCAACUGGGCCGGACUCGUGAUCUAGAUCUUUUACUUUGAAAAAUUAGAGUGUUUAAAGCAGGCUUUUGCUAUGAAUACAUUAGCAUGGAAUAAUAAUCUAGGACUUCGGUUCUAUUUUGUUGGUUUCUAGUACUGAAGUAAUGAUUGAUAGGGAUAGUUGGGGGUGCUAGUAUUGGCCGGCCAGAGGUGAAAUUCUUGGAUUCGGUCAAGACUAACUUAUGCGAAAGCAUUCACCAAGGAUGUCUUCUUUAAUCAAGAACGAAAGUUACACCG